Molecule: ribosomal RNA, 253 nt
Filed under: uncultured bacterium
Lineage: Bacteria
Description: partial 16S ribosomal RNA
Rfam family: Bacterial small subunit ribosomal RNA
Source: RNAcentral
UACGGGGGGAGCAAGCGUUGUUCGGAUUUACUGGGCGUAAAGGGCGCGUAGGCGGCCAGCACAAGUCAGUUGUGAAAUCUCCGAGCUUAACUCGGAAAGGUCAACUGAUACUGUGCGGCUAGAGUGCGGAAGGGGCAACUGGAAUUCUUGGUGUAGCGGUGAAAUGCGUAGAUAUCAAGAGGAACACCUGCGGCGAAGGCGGGUUCUGGGCCGACACUGACGCUGAGGCGCGAAAGCCAGGGGAGCGAACGGG